This 253-nucleotide ribosomal RNA is filed under the name uncultured bacterium. RNAcentral describes it as "partial 16S ribosomal RNA". It matches the Rfam family "Bacterial small subunit ribosomal RNA", at positions 524 to 776 of the family's 1533-position model. The record is from RNAcentral.
UACGUAGGGGGCAAGCGUUGUCCGGAAUUACUGGGCGUAAAGGGCGUGUAGGCGGAUAUAUAAGUUAGGUGUGAAAACUCAAGGCUCAACCAUGAGACUGCAUCUAAAACUGUAUACCUUGAGGAUGAGAGAGGAAAGUGGAAUUCCUAGUGUAGCGGUGAAAUGCGUAGAUAUUAGGAGGAACACCAGUGGCGAAGGCGACUUUCUGGCUCAUAACUGACGCUGAGGCGCGAAAGCGUGGGGAGCAAACAGG